Homo sapiens (human) is the source of this 854-nucleotide long non-coding RNA. RefSeq lists it as uncharacterized. The transcript has 2 exons. The record is from RefSeq and is a predicted model, not a curated record. NCBI's taxonomy places the organism in Eukaryota, Metazoa, Chordata, Mammalia, Primates, Hominidae.
GCUGAACUCCGGCCACUUGAGCUGCUCUUACACUGUAUACCUGUGUCUGAGUACUCAGUUCAUCCACCAGUCAGGGUCUGUGGGACAGACUAGGCAGGUGGUGCCCCGUGUGAGGAGCAGCGCAGUGGAUCAUGAUGGAACCCUCGAAAAUGAACGUGAAGUGACUGCGCAGAUAUGCUUGUGUUCACAUCCCCUCAGGUCCUCUUGGGAUUCCAGUGCAAUGCAUCAAACCAUACCAUGGCAUGGCUGGGACCCAAUGCAGUACUGGAAAUGAAGAAUGUGAGCCUGUAGGACCCGCAGCCCCGGACAAUGCAGCUUCCUCGGACAACACAGGUCCCGGAUGGGGAAUGUGAAAUAGACAACUGGGGGAUGCUAAAUAAGACAACUCAGGAGGCUAAGUGAAUCACAGACACCAUUCACUCCAGAUAAUCUGUUCCUUGCUAUGCUGUCUGUUGUACAUUGCAACUCUUGUAAGGAUGCAAAGCUGGAACACAAGCUGUAACCGCUGCACCUGUCAAACCUGUCGCUGCACACAUCUGUACGCUUCAAUCAACUAAACCUGAUGCAAAAAACAGAAAAGGGAGAGAUGUAGGGGAUCACUCAGAGUGGUGGGAAAAACUAUAGGGAAAGGACACAAACCUUCUGAAAGGUUGGAAGGGUCUGCAGAGCCCCUGGGGAGAAUAGCUGGAAGCAGCUGUUCUAUAACCCUGAGACAGAGGGCAAGGAGUAGAUACAAGGGAGUGUGGGGGGAAUUGAUCUUAAACAAUCUUGUUAUGUUGACCAGGAACUGACCUUUGAUCAUCCCUGCAUGUGAAGUUCCCUGAAAGGGGAACAAUAAAUGUUAAUUACCUUCA